This 472-nucleotide ribosomal RNA is filed under the name uncultured bacterium. Its description in RNAcentral is "partial 16S ribosomal RNA". It matches the Rfam family "Bacterial small subunit ribosomal RNA", at positions 28 to 507 of the family's 1533-position model. The record is from RNAcentral.
GACGAACGCUGGCGGCGUGCUUAACACAUGCAAGUCGAACGCUGAAGCUUGGUGCUUGCACUGGGUGGAUGAGUGGCGAACGGGUGAGUAAUACGUGAGUAACCUGCCCUUGACUCUGGGAUAAGCCUGGGAAACUGGGUCUAAUACUGGAUACGACAUGUCACCGCAUGGUGGUGUGUGGAAAGGGUUUUACUGGUUUUGGAUGGGCUCACGGCCUAUCAGCUUGUUGGUGGGGUAAUGGCUCACCAAGGCGACGACGGGUAGCCGGCCUGAGAGGGUGACCGGCCACACUGGGACUGAGACACGGCCCAGACUCCUACGGGAGGCAGCAGUGGGGAAUAUUGCACAAUGGGCGGAAGCCUGAUGCAGCGACGCCGCGUGAGGGAUGACGGCCUUCGGGUUGUAAACCUCUUUCAGCACGGAAGAAGCGAAAGUGACGGUACGUGCAGAAGAAGUGCCGGCUAACUACGUG